UACGUAGGGGGCGAGCGUUGUCCGGAUUCAUUGGGCGUAAAGCGCGCGUAGGCGGCUCCGCAAGUCGGCCGUGAAAUCUCCGUGCUCAACUCGGAGGGGUCGGGCGAGACUGCGAGGCUCGAGGUGGGCAGAGGGCAGUGGAAUUCCAGGUGUAGUGGUGGAAUGCGUAGAGAUCCGGAGGAACACCAGUGGCGAAGGCGGCUGCCUGGGCCUGGCCUGACGCUGAGGCGCGAAAGCGUGGGGAGCAAUCCGG
This 253-nucleotide ribosomal RNA is filed under the name uncultured bacterium. Its description in RNAcentral is "partial 16S ribosomal RNA". It matches the Rfam family "Bacterial small subunit ribosomal RNA", at positions 524 to 776 of the family's 1533-position model. The record is from RNAcentral.